GAUGAAGAACGUAGUGAAAUGCGAUAAGUAAUGUGAAUUGCAGAAUUCAGUGAAUCAUCGAAUCUUUGAACGCACAUUGCGCCCCUAGGUAUUCCGAGGGGCAUGCCUGUUCGAGCGUCAUUUUGACCACUCCCGCUUGCGGGGUCUUGGGCCUUCGCCUCUGGGCGGGCCUUAAAAUCAGUGGCGGUGCCGUCCGGCUCUAAGCGUAGUAAAUCUCCUCGCUAUAGGGUUCCGGAGGGAUGCUGGCCAACAACCCCCAACUUUUAAGGUUGACCUCGGAUCAGGUAGGGAUACCCGCUGAACUUAAGCAUAUCAAUAAGCGGAGGA
This 327-nucleotide unclassified non-coding RNA is filed under the name soil metagenome. RNAcentral describes it as "partial contains 5.8S ribosomal RNA, internal transcribed spacer 2, and large subunit ribosomal RNA". The stretch from base 1 to 120 matches the Rfam family "5.8S ribosomal RNA", at positions 35 to 154 of the family's 154-position model. The record is from RNAcentral.